Molecule: non-coding RNA, 21 nt
Filed under: Caenorhabditis elegans
Lineage: Eukaryota; Metazoa; Nematoda; Chromadorea; Rhabditida; Rhabditidae
Source: RNAcentral
UUUUUUUUAUGAUACGGCAAU